RNAcentral lists this ribosomal RNA (257 nucleotides) under uncultured bacterium. RNAcentral describes it as "partial 16S ribosomal RNA". It matches the Rfam family "Bacterial small subunit ribosomal RNA", at positions 526 to 779 of the family's 1533-position model. The record is from RNAcentral.
CGUAGGGUGCGAGCGUUGUCCGGAAUUAUUGGGCGUAAAGGGCUCGUAGGCGGUUUGUCGCGUCGGGAGUGAAAACAACGCAGCUUAACUGCGUGCUUGCUUUCGAUACGGGCAGACUAGAGGUAUGCAGGGGAGAACGGAAUUCCUGGUGUAGCGGUGAAAUGCGCAGAUAUCAGGAGGAACACCGGUGGCGAAGGCGGUUUCUCUGGGCAUUACCUGACGCUGAGGAGCGAAAGUGUGGGGGAGCGAACAGGAUU